GGGGAUCUCAGAUCUGUUGUCUGGGAUCUGAUUGCACUCUAUUGUGGUCGGUAAGGGUAGGCAUGUCUUACCAUCCAUAGACUCGAUUUGUAGGCCGUCAGGUCUUCUCCCCGCCGUCUCCACUGUACCUGCACAGGUUCUAAGGGAGUAAGGAUUGCUGGGGCCCUUAACAUUCAGAAUAUCAAAAAACACAGACCUAGCUAGUGACUUGUUGCUCUGAUCAUUCAAGAUGGCGUAGUGCUUGACUGCUUUAUCUCUGUGUCCUUUUGGGUAAACUUUUACUAGACAGAUUUUGGAGCAAGAUCUGCUACCUGUAAUUCCUUUGCAGACUUCAGUGCACUGUAAAGUGAUUGCUAUUUCAUCUGUACUAGUCUCUUU
Molecule: non-coding RNA, 378 nt
Organism: Pelobates cultripes (western spadefoot toad)
Lineage: Eukaryota; Metazoa; Chordata; Amphibia; Anura; Pelobatidae
Source: the annotation of a GenBank genome assembly